UCUUCAAGAGCUUUUAGGAAAUCAAUUGAAAACAAGUCUCAAGAAUUAUUAGUGGAACAAAUAGCAAAAUUGUAAUGAUAUCAAUUUUGAUAACCUAAAGUGAAAGAUUUUCCAAGUGUAGAAACUUAGUAAAAUUUACAUUACACGUUACAGCAACUUAGCUUUCAAAAACAAAAGAACUAAAGAACAGUUACAUUAUCCGCAUACAGAGAGUAGUAACAUUACACUAGUUAAGAUUCAAGGCCAAACAAAAUCCACACACACUCUCGAUUCCAAUAGAUUCUCCGUCAUUCUUUCUUGAAUCUCUUCAAUUCUCCGAUUCUUCAUAUUCUUCACAGUAUCCUCAUCAUUCAAUGGUUUUCUCACAGUAGCAUAUGAUGAAGAAGUUAUGGUAGAAUAAGAAGAAGAAGGAGGAUAUGCUGCUAAUAGAGCUGAAGCACCACACUUACGAUUCCGAACAAGCUCUGAAAACAAAAGUACAAGUGAAGCCAUGGAAGUUGAUGGAAACUCAAGAUUAUGAACAAGGUUAUUUGUGUAUAUGUAAUUUAAGGUUUUGUUUUUUUCGUUAUGGUGUAGGCGAAAUUGAUGGUUAGAGAAAAUAAGUGAAGGUCAUAUAAAGGGGUAAGUGAAGUAAAUGAGAGAGUUGUAAGAGAAGAAAGGACACGGAUUGAAGUUGUUUACUGGUAGCUGGAGCUGUUUGGUUUGUUUUUUUCUAUGACUCGUGUUGGAAGGUGUUUUUCAGGAAUGCACUGAAAACAGUGGUUUUGUAGCCGCUGAUUUACUCACUCUGUUGUCUGGUAUUUUUCAUUUAUGGGCUAUGCACUUGCAAAUUUCUUUUAUUUUUGAACAAAUAUGUUAACUUAAGCAUAUUCCAAUUCCAAAAC
This 884-nucleotide long non-coding RNA is filed under the name Lupinus angustifolius (narrow-leaved blue lupine). Its description in RNAcentral is "long non-coding RNA (LANG_LNC002556)". The record is from RNAcentral. Lineage: Eukaryota; Viridiplantae; Streptophyta; Magnoliopsida; Fabales; Fabaceae.